UACGGAGGAUGCGAGCGUUAUCCGGAUUUAUUGGGUUUAAAGGGUGCGUAGGCGGGCUUUUAAGUCAGCGGUAAAAAUUCGGGGCUCAACCCCGUCCGGCCGUUGAAACUGGGGGCCUUGAGUGGGCGAGAAGAAGGCGGAAUGCGUGGUGUAGCGGUGAAAUGCAUAGAUAUCACGCAGAACCCCGAUUGCGAAGGCAGCCUUCCGGCGCCCUGCUGACGCUGAGGCACGAAAGUGCGGGGAUCGAACAGG
RNAcentral lists this ribosomal RNA (252 nucleotides) under uncultured bacterium. RNAcentral describes it as "partial 16S ribosomal RNA". It matches the Rfam family "Bacterial small subunit ribosomal RNA", at positions 524 to 776 of the family's 1533-position model. The record is from RNAcentral.